This 23-nucleotide non-coding RNA is filed under the name Arabidopsis thaliana (thale cress). The record is from RNAcentral. Lineage: Eukaryota; Viridiplantae; Streptophyta; Magnoliopsida; Brassicales; Brassicaceae.
UAUCACCAUAUUUUCCUACUUCC